Molecule: ribosomal RNA, 548 nt
Filed under: uncultured bacterium
Lineage: Bacteria
Description: bacterial SSU rRNA
Rfam family: Bacterial small subunit ribosomal RNA
Source: RNAcentral
GGAAUAUUGGGCAAUGGACGCAAGUCUGACCCAGCGACGCCGCGUGAGGGAUGAAGGCCUUCGGGUUGUAAACCUCUUUCAGUAGGGAAGAAGCGAAAGUGACGGUACCUAAAGAAGAAGCACCGGCUAACUAUGUGCCAGCAGCCGCGGUAAUACAUAGGGUGCAAGCGUUGUCCGGAAUUAUUGGGCGUAAAGAGCUCGUAGGUCGUUUGACACGUCGGAUGUGAAAAUCUGAGGCUUAACCUCAGACCUGCAUUCGAUACGGUCAAACUAGAGUGUGGUAGGGGAGACUGGAAUUCCUGGUGUAGCGGUGGAAUGCGCAGAUAUCAGGAGGAACACCAAUGGCGAAGGCAGGUCUCUGGGCCAUUACUGACACUGAGGAGCGAAAGCGCGGGGAGCGAACAGGAUUAGAUACCCUGGUAGUCCGCGCCGUAAACGGUGGGCACUAGUUGUGGGAACCUUCCACGGUUUCCGCGACGCAGCUAACGCAUUAAGUGCCCCGCCUGGGGAGUACGAUCGCAAGAUUAAAACUCAAAGGAAUUGACGGA